Molecule: long non-coding RNA, 861 nt
Filed under: Homo sapiens (human)
Lineage: Eukaryota; Metazoa; Chordata; Mammalia; Primates; Hominidae
Description: HSALNT0256544
Source: RNAcentral
UGAAAGCGUGUGGGGCCCGUUCCUAGGGGCCCAGCUCCCUUUGCCCCAAGAGAUCCAGCUCCUCGCCUUUCCUGGGGCUUCCGCCUUUAUUUCUGGUUUCUCCUGCAGUGUAGCCUCCAUCCUUCUUGCUGCCGCUAAAGCCUUGUUUUUCUUAGAGGUGUGGGGACUGCAAGGCGCUCAAAGACCAUCUUGGGAAGCCCGUGCCUAUUUCCCAGAUAGACAAACUGCUCCAUUCGCGUCCUGUUUCUCUCCAAGGGGAACCACAGUACUAAUAUUUUGCUUCUCCCUCAUGCAGACACCCGCUAGGGACGAGGGUGUCCUAGAGGUUAUUAUUCCCUUAUUCACCAAGACAUUUUCAGUUUUAGGUAACAGAAAACCCUACUCAAUCUGGCUUAAGGAAGAAAAGGAAGUUGGUGGCUUAUAGAUUGGGUCUAACAGGAGCUGGGUCCAGGUGGUCAGAAUUCGAUCUGCAGUUUUCUCGGUGGAGACCAUUUCGCUUUUUACCGAGGCAAAAGGGGCCCCUCACAGCUCUCAACUUUAUUCUACCAGCUCUGCAACUCUAAUGAGAGUCUCUUUUCCUUGAUGACACUGCUAGAAGUUGCAGAGCUGCCACUCAAUGGCCUGAUUUGGGUCAUGUGCCCAUCCCUGAGCCAUUUUCAGUGGCCAGAGAGCUGGGAUGUGCUCACUGGCCGAGUAGGGGCAUGGGGCUAGCACUACGUUAAAAAAAAAAAGAGGAAAAAAGAGGGGGGACUGUUAUCUUAUGUCGGAGUGGCUGCUCGGCUGAGAGGUGUAAAAGGCAGCCAUUCUGCAGCUGAGGAAAGUGACUCCCUAAGAGGAGUGACUCAUCAUCAGUAAGCGGCU